RNAcentral lists this ribosomal RNA (900 nucleotides) under uncultured Clostridium sp. Its description in RNAcentral is "bacterial SSU rRNA". It matches the Rfam family "Bacterial small subunit ribosomal RNA", at positions 599 to 1501 of the family's 1533-position model. Lineage: Bacteria; Bacillati; Bacillota; Clostridia; Eubacteriales; Clostridiaceae. The record is from RNAcentral.
AUCCCCGGGCUCANCCCGGGNACUGCAUUCCAAACUGGGUAUCUAGAGUGCAGGAGAGGAAAGCGGAAUUCCUAGUGUAGCGGUGAAAUGCGUAGAUAUUAGGAGGAACACCAGUGGCGAAGGCGGCUUUCUGGACUGUAACUGACACUGAGGCAUGAAAGCGUGGGUAGCAAACAGGAUUAGAUACCCUGGUAGUCCACGCCGUAAACGAUGGGUACUAGGUGUAGGAGGUAUCGACCCCUUCUGUGCCGCCGUUAACACAAUAAGUACCCCGCCUGGGGAGUACGGUCGCAAGACUAAAACUCAAAGGAAUUGACGGGGGCCCGCACAAGCAGCGGAGCAUGUGGUUUAAUUCGAAGCAACGCGAAGAACCUUACCUAGACUUGACAUCUCCUGAAUUACCCUUAACCGGGGAAGCCCUUCGGGGCAGGAAGACAGGUGGUGCAUGGUUGUCGUCAGCUCGUGUCGUGAGAUGUUGGGUUAAGUCCCGCAACGAGCGCAACCCUUAUUUUUAGUUGCUACCAUUUAGUUGAGCACUCUAAAGAGACUGCCCGGGUUAACCGGGAGGAAGGUGGGGAUGACGUCAAAUCAUCAUGCCCCUUAUGUCUAGGGCUACACACGUGCUACAAUGGUGAGAACAAAGAGACGCAAGACCGCGAGGUGGAGCCAAUCUCACAAAACUCAUCCCAGUUCGGAUUGCAGGCUGAAACUCGCCUGCAUGAAGCCGGAGUUGCUAGUAAUCGCGAAUCAGCAUGUCGCGGUGAAUACGUUCCCGGGCCUUGUACACACCGCCCGUCACACCAUGAGAGUUGGCAAUACCCGAAGUCCGUGGGAUAACCGCAAGGAGUCAGCGGCCGAAGGUAGGGUCAGCGAUUGGGGUGAAGUCGUAACAAGGUAACC